GAUGAACGCUGGCGGCGUGCCUAAUACAUGCAAGUCGAGCGAACGUUCUUCUGAACGUUAGCGGCGGACGGGUGAGUAACACGUAGGUAACCUACCUUGUAGAUGGGGAUAACACCGAGAAAUCGGUGCUAAUACCGAAUAACAAUGAAGAUCACAUGAUUUUCAUUUGAACGUGGGCUUCGGCUUACACUAUGAGAUGGACCUGCGGCGCAUUAGCUAGUUGGUGAGGUAACGGCUCACCAAGGCGACGAUGCGUAGCCGACCAGCGAGGGUGAUCGGCCACACUGGGACUGAGACACGGCCCAGACUCCUACGGGAGGCAGCAGUAGGGAAUUUUCCACAAUGGACGAAAGUCUGAUGGAGCAACGCCGCGUGUGCGAAGAAGGCCUUCGGGUUGUAAAGCACUGUUGUAAGGGAAGAAUGGGUGAGAGAGGAAAUGCUCUUGCUAUGACGGUACCUUACCAGAAAGCCACGGCUAACUACGUGCCAGCCGCCGC
Molecule: ribosomal RNA, 497 nt
Filed under: uncultured bacterium
Lineage: Bacteria
Description: bacterial SSU rRNA
Rfam family: Bacterial small subunit ribosomal RNA
Source: RNAcentral